RNAcentral lists this long non-coding RNA (971 nucleotides) under Equus asinus (donkey). RNAcentral's name for it is "lncRNA (ENSEASG00005037272.1)". Lineage: Eukaryota; Metazoa; Chordata; Mammalia; Perissodactyla; Equidae. The record is from RNAcentral.
ACAGGGACGCCGGCUGUGGCUGCAAACGCGGGUGCGAGGGAGCUUUUGGUCCCCUCCUUUGUCCGUGGAAGUAUCAAUCCAGGCAAACCACUUGGAAGGGCUGCAGUGAGAAACAGGACCGUGACCUAGUGGAGAGCAUGGGCUCCAGAGUCAGGUUUACUCAGAAGUUGUUUAUUUGAAGAAGACACAUUUAUUUGGUCUGGAGAAAGAAAAUCUGGCUGAGGUGAAAAUCCCUGAGCUGGCUCCAAGGCUCCCUGAAAGGAACAGCAAGUGUAUCAUCAGAUAACCGCCACCCAGCGAUCCCCUGGGAGCGCCCCUUGACCUUUUACCAAAGAUGGACCCACUACAUUCAAGGUCUCUUAUUCCCCCAGCAGUGCUGUUCUAGGUUAAUGCUAUUUUGGGAGCGUGGUUCUUCAUUUCAGUGUGAAUUUCCUCAUCUUUCCGCACAAAUUGAGUGAAAUCCUUAGUGCAUUUUUCUCUUAGAUGGAUGGAGGCUAAAAGAGAAUGGAAGGCCUCCAGCUGUUUGAGGCUCUGUCCUCAACGACAAUCAAAAUUCUCCAUCUUUUCUUGUUCUUGGCACUUUCUGAUUGAAAUAAGAUUCCAGCAUUUAUCUGCACCUGCAAUUUUGACAAGAAAGGAAAAUUUAAAAGACAAGUGAAAGAAUUCUCUGAGGGAAGUCAAUGAGUCGACAGUAGUCAGACGCCUGCGAAUCUCUUUUUGCAUUCCUCCGUCAAUUAAGCUACAGUCACAUAUUGGAGAGCAGAACUUAAGUCUGUGAGUAGAAAUGCAAAAAUGUGCGUGGAUCAGUAGCGGGAACCUUCCUUUGGAGCGAAUAUUACUUGGAGAGCAGCUGAUGAUCAUUGGCGUUGAAAUGGAGAGAAUUUCGAGUCAGAGGGUCACUUUACUUCUCCAGACUCAGUUUUCUGUGCAAAAUGAGGAGAUAGGACUGGAUUAACAUUUCUCAGAAGGUG